Molecule: transfer RNA, 68 nt
Filed under: Trichonephila clavipes
Lineage: Eukaryota; Metazoa; Arthropoda; Arachnida; Araneae; Nephilidae
Description: tRNA-Thr
Source: RNAcentral
GCCAGUCUGGUGGAUAUAACCUUCGGCUUGUAACCGAGUGGUUUUGGGUUCGAAUUCCGAGUAAGGCA